Molecule: ribosomal RNA, 250 nt
Filed under: uncultured bacterium
Lineage: Bacteria
Description: partial 16S ribosomal RNA
Rfam family: Bacterial small subunit ribosomal RNA
Source: RNAcentral
GACGUAGGGCGCGAGCGUUGUCCGGAUUUAUUGGGCGUAAAGAGCUCGUAGGCGGCUUGUCGCGUCGACUGUGAAAACCCGUGGCUCAACUGCGGGCCUGCAGUCGAUACGGGCAGGCUAGAGUUCGGUAGGGGAGACUGGAAUUCCUGUGUAGCGGUGAAUGCGCAGAUAUCAGGAGGAACACCGGUGGCGAAGGCGGGUCUCUGGGCAGUAACUGACGCUGAGGAGCGAAAGCGUGGGAGCAAACAGG